This 484-nucleotide ribosomal RNA is filed under the name uncultured bacterium. RNAcentral describes it as "bacterial SSU rRNA". It matches the Rfam family "Bacterial small subunit ribosomal RNA", at positions 30 to 516 of the family's 1533-position model. The record is from RNAcentral.
AUUGAACGCUGGCGGAAUGCUUUACACAUGCAAGUCGAACGGUAGAGGGGGCAACCCCUUGAGAGUGGCGAACGGGUGAGUAAUAUAUCGGAACGUGCCCAGUCGUGGGGAUAACGUAGCGAAAGUUACGCUAAUACCGCAUACGAUCUACGGAUGAAAGCGGGGGACUCGCAAGAGCCUCGCGCGAUUGGAGCGGCCGAUAUCAGAUUAGGUAGUUGGUGGGGUAAAGGCUCACCAAGCCAACGAUCUGUAGCUGGUCUGAGAGAACGACCAGCCACACUGGUACUGAGACACGGACCAGACUCCUACGGGAGGCAGCAGUGAGGAAUAUUGGACAAUGGGCGCAAGCCUGAUCCAGCCAUGCCGCGUGCAGGAUGACGGUCCUAUGGAUUGUAAACUGCUUUGUACAGGAAGAAACCCUUUCACGUGUGGAAGAUUGACGGUACUGUAAGAAUAAGGAUCGGCUAACUCCGUGCCAGCAGCC